UACGAAGGGGGCUAGCGUUGCUCGGAAUCACUGGGCGUAAAGGGUGCGUAGGCGGGUCUUUAAGUCAGGGGUGAAAUCCUGGAGCUCAACUCCAGAACUGCCUUUGAUACUGAAGAUCUUGAGUUCGGGAGAGGUGAGUGGAACUGCGAGUGUAGAGGUGAACUUCGUAGAUAUUCGCAAGAACACCAGUGGCGAAGGCGGCUCACUGGCCCGAUACUGACGCUGAGGCACGAAAGCGUGGGGAGCAAACAGG
RNAcentral lists this ribosomal RNA (253 nucleotides) under uncultured bacterium. RNAcentral's name for it is "partial 16S ribosomal RNA". It matches the Rfam family "Bacterial small subunit ribosomal RNA", at positions 524 to 776 of the family's 1533-position model. The record is from RNAcentral.